RNAcentral lists this long non-coding RNA (1747 nucleotides) under Triticum aestivum (bread wheat). RNAcentral's name for it is "long non-coding RNA (TAES_LNC004212)". The record is from RNAcentral. Lineage: Eukaryota; Viridiplantae; Streptophyta; Magnoliopsida; Poales; Poaceae.
GGCUCAUUUGAUACGCCGGGUUUCGAUGGCCCAAUCCCUCGGAUUCCCCUCAGAUCCCUCGUUUCCACGUGGUUCAGAGCCCUCGAGGGGGGACUCGGGGAUUUGGAGGAGACGAUCCUACCUGCCGCCCGCUCAACGCGCCGCCGCCCGCCUCCUCCUCAAGCCGCCGUCGCCCGCCACCUCAACACCGGCGUACCUUCUCCAUCAUACUGGCCUUCACCCCGAAGGUAUGUCCUCGCCGCCCCUCCCCUCCUUCCACGGAGGUAAGUCCUCGCCAUGGCUGCCACCUCCCGUGCAUCCUCCAUCCGCCUUGUCCUCCGGGCGAGCUCGCCAAGAACGCAGUCUCCCUCUCCUAGUCAUGGACCGUCACUUCUUGCCCCUCGUCGACCCUACCCCAACCUGUCGAGAUUGCAAUAAAUUAGUGAUGGUGAUGUUCUGAUGGAUCUAUGAGGAUAAAUUGGCAGAUUGUAGUACUGGAUUAGCAGAUUGUAGUGCUGGAUAAAUCAGCAGAUUGUAGUACUGGUUCAGUAAAUUAGCAGAUGGUGAUGGUAUGAUGGAUAAAUUAGCAGAUUCUGGUACUACUAAGCAUCAGCACAACAAAGCAAUGUAGUGGUCUUUUUUUACAUGGAUGGUGAAUAAUCUGUAAACCACUAGUUCAAAGCAACGUAGUGGUCUGAUGGAUUUUUGUCUUGUUUACAUAUUUAGUUUCCAACAUAAUGGUCGCUUGAUUCGUUUCAUGCCUGUAUAUAUCAUGCUCAUUUGUUACCACGAUCAUCCCUGCUUAUUUUUGUUGAUUAUCUCUGUUUAUUUCAAUAAAUCUCAUGAUUUAUGUCUGUAUAUUACUCCCUCCGUUCCUAAAUAUUUGUCUUUUUAGAGAUUCAAAUGGACUAUCACAUACGGAUGUAUAUAGACAUAUUUUAGAGUGUAGAUUCACUCAUUUUGCUCCGUAUGUAGUGACUUGUUGAAAUCUCUAGAAAGACAAAUAUUUAGGAACGGAGGGAGUACAAAUGAUUUUUAGUAAAUAUGCAUACCACUAUAGCUACUGUGGUGACACAUUCAUGUUCAGAAAAUCCACAACGAACAGUUCAAUUGUCCACACGAAUUAGGAGGGAAAAAAGAUUGUCGUUCCAAUCGGGCCUUGGCUACAUUUGUAGUAUCAUUUUACUGUUGUUUCAGCACAAGGUUCUAUCCAUCUGCUGUUUAGGCAAGUGCAGCAUGUGUAGUUUUGGGAUAGCAGGACCAAACUGAAUCUGUGUACAUAAGCCAUCAUCAUUUCACAAGUACUAGCACUCCUGUUAACUGUGGCAAACUUUAUAGCCAACUCUGUGGCAAAAGAAAUUAAACAGUGUUAUUUCCCAUCUGUAAAUAAAUAAAUAGUAUUGUUGCCAGCUCCAUGCUGAUAAAUAAAUAGUAUUGAUGCCCAUCUGUUUCAGCUUUCAUGUGCAAAAUUUACUAGUAUCCAUGUAGGACUAGAAAUUUGUGACAUCUAGCUUUAGAUGAGCAUGUUUGUGAGCCCAAAUCUGUGGGAUAAAUUGUGAGGCAAAAUGUAUCAUCAUGUACAUGCUUUCCUGGUUGUUGUUUCCACUAUAAACAAGCAUAUGUUCAUCUCUUUUUGUUUCAUCAGGUUCUCUUAGGCAACCAAUGAAGCAAAGACUAAACAAGCUGGAUGGAUAAACUUUUGACCACUCAAAAGCUGGAUGAUCAUUGAGCUAUUGCACAAGUACCAAUUAUGGCAUUGUGUUGUGAC